GGCAGCGGGAGCCCGGACCCCGUGUCUUGGACCCGCCGCAGGCGGCCAAAGAGGCAUGAGGAAAGUCCCCCCACCGUCCGGGCAGGUGACCGGGUGCAAACCCGGAGCGGGAGACCGCUGGCACUGGAACAGAAACGAGACCACUCCGCCUGACCGAUGAGGCGUGCGAACCCCGACUGACGAAGGCCGACUCGGCUGCCGGGAGAAACCCCGGUACGUCGGUCGACCGAGAAAGGAACGGGGAGCUGACCCGCCGAGGGCGGCGUGCCGACCACGUCGGCACGUCACGAACGAGCGAACGUUGCGCGGCGCUCCGCGCCGCGAUUUCGAGGCGGUGCGACCGCCACACGGUUCGCGAGUAGACGGUGGAGAACGGAUGGAACGGCGAAUCCUCACUGGUGCAAGUCCGCGCCACAAGGUAGCCCGGACGCGGCGCGGACGCUCAGCCGAAUGCCGGGCCGAACAGAAGGGGGCUUACUCCCCGCAGCC
RNAcentral lists this RNase P RNA (489 nucleotides) under Halapricum hydrolyticum. Its description in RNAcentral is "RNase P RNA component". It matches the Rfam family "Archaeal RNase P". From Rfam's summary of the family: Ribonuclease P (RNase P) is a ubiquitous endoribonuclease, found in archaea, bacteria and eukarya as well as chloroplasts and mitochondria. Its best characterised activity is the generation of mature 5'-ends of tRNAs by cleaving the 5'-leader elements of precursor-tRNAs. The record is from RNAcentral. Lineage: Archaea; Methanobacteriati; Methanobacteriota; Halobacteria; Halobacteriales; Haloarculaceae.